GGGGGCGUUUUGGAUUCGACGGGGAUUGUUCGAGCAUGCACGGCGGGUCGUGGGGCUGCGGGGCCACGUUAAAAACGCAGACCUAAGUUUAACUGGCAAAGCUAAGAGCUUUACCUCAAACAGCAACCUCGCCCUAGCUGCUUAAUUGUAGUUAGGCCGUCAUCGUGUCUGUCGCCCGUGCAGACUUGGUGACGUCAACUUAGCGGGAUAGUCGGGGGCACGCGCUCGUGGGCCACCGGCGAAACUUAGCGAGCUGACCAUCUCGUAAGCGCGUGUGUCCGCGUGCGAAUGGGACAUUCAAAAGAUGCACUACACCCGUAGAUGUUCAUGUAGCGAGGUCUUCGGACGCGGGUUCGACUCCCGUCGCCUCCACCA
This 375-nucleotide transfer-messenger RNA is filed under the name Alicyclobacillaceae. RNAcentral's name for it is "Alicyclobacillus_B curvatus Standard tmRNA". It matches the Rfam family "transfer-messenger RNA". Rfam says of the family: Bacterial tmRNA, also known as 10Sa RNA or SsrA, is named for its dual tRNA and mRNA-like properties. Its role is to liberate the mRNA from a stalled ribosome. The record is from RNAcentral. Lineage: Bacteria; Bacillati; Bacillota; Bacilli; Caryophanales. RNAcentral also lists the same sequence under 1 other name.